UACUAAGGUAGCAGUUGGUAGUUUCCAGCCACAGAUUCGAAUUGGCCAGGGUCAAAAUCUGUCAUUAGAGAUAAAACCUUGAAGUGAAGGCAGUUUUGAUGUUUGAAAUAUUUGUUGAUGUGAGUUUGUGAUUAACAAGUUUAAGAAUGGUAUGUUGCAGAAAUUCUGGCAGAUGCGAAUGUAAGCUUGAUGGCAUCAUUUUCAUAUAACUGCUUGAAAUGCAUAUAUGCCACUAUCAGCAUUGAGCGUCUCGUGAACUGUCAAAUGUCAUAUAGGCCUCACACAGUUGAAAAUAGUGAAAAAAGUAAUCGGUUGACAGGUCUGCAUCUCGUAAGAUAUCGGAAGCCGUCUGACUUGGCCACAUCGCUCGGAAGUCUGAAGUACUAGAAAAAACCGCCAUCUGCUACCUUAAUUAAGACAUUUGUCAAUUUUUGUCUGCAUCUCGUAAGAUAUCGGAAGCCGUCUGACUUGGCCACAUCACUCGGAAGUCCGAAGUACUAGAAAAAACCGC
Molecule: long non-coding RNA, 511 nt
Organism: Mercenaria mercenaria
Lineage: Eukaryota; Metazoa; Mollusca; Bivalvia; Venerida; Veneridae
Exons: 3
Source: RefSeq, a predicted model, not a curated record